GAAAAGGCCUUUUUUGAGGCCACCUUGUAUUUCAAUAAUAUUUACA
This is a non-coding RNA of Brassica napus (rape), 46 nucleotides long. The record is from Rfam. NCBI's taxonomy places the organism in Eukaryota, Viridiplantae, Streptophyta, Magnoliopsida, Brassicales, Brassicaceae.